GUCACAUUGCCUUUGCAAGUGAGGGCAGCUAGGAUUUUAGCAAUCACUUAUGAAAGCCAACCUAGUGAAAGCUCUUUCAUUAAUUUGACAGUUACUGCUUAAAUAUGCCAAUGGAAUACAAAAAUCAACUUUAAUUUGGAAUAUACAAAAUAUAUUGAUUAUUUUUUUUCUAUAAUAUGAAAAUAACCAGUCUGACAAAAGAUGUUAAAGACACUAAGACACUAUGAAGAAGGUAAAGGACCUGCAGAACUGGAGUUUCAACUUCAACAAAACCUAGUGAUUCCAUUGUCUUGCGAAUCUCAGAAACAAU
This 310-nucleotide unclassified non-coding RNA is filed under the name Hevea brasiliensis (rubber tree). Lineage: Eukaryota; Viridiplantae; Streptophyta; Magnoliopsida; Malpighiales; Euphorbiaceae. The record is from RNAcentral.